UGAGUGACAGAGAAAGGAGAUACCGUGAUCACGAAGGUGCUUUUCCCUGGGCGAGGCUUAUCCAUGGCACUCCGGGUGUGCUGACCCCUGCGAUUUCCCCAAAUGUGGGAAACUCGACUGCAUAAUUUGUGGUAGUGGGGGACUGCGUUCACGCUUUCCCCGG
Small nuclear RNA from Callithrix jacchus (white-tufted-ear marmoset), 163 nucleotides. Its record names the gene U1. It matches the Rfam family "U1 spliceosomal RNA". Rfam says of the family: U1 is a small nuclear RNA (snRNA) component of the spliceosome (involved in pre-mRNA splicing). Its 5' end forms complementary base pairs with the 5' splice junction, thus defining the 5' donor site of an intron. The record is from Ensembl. Lineage: Eukaryota; Metazoa; Chordata; Mammalia; Primates; Cebidae.